AGAGCGAACGCUGGCGGCAGGCCUAAUACAUGCAAGUCGAACGGACCCUUCGGGGUUAGUGGCGGACGGGUGAGUAACACGUGGGAACGUGCCCUUUGGUUCGGAACAACUCAGGGAAACUUGAGCUAAUACCGAAUGUGCCCUUCGGGGGAAAGAUUUAUCGCCAUUGGAGCGGCCCGCGUCUGAUUAGCUAGUUGGUGAGGUAAAGGCUCACCAAGGCGACGAUCAGUAGCUGGUCUGAGAGGAUGAUCAGCCACACUGGGACUGAGACACGGCCCAGACUCCUACGGGAGGCAGCAGUAGGGAAUCUUGCGCAAUGGGCGAAAGCCUGACGCAGCCAUGCCGCGUGAAUGAUGAAGGUCUUAGGAUUGUAAAAUUCUUUCAGCGGGGACGAUAAUGACGGUACCGCAGAAGAAGCCCGGCUAACUUCGUGCCAGCAGCCGC
RNAcentral lists this ribosomal RNA (444 nucleotides) under uncultured bacterium. RNAcentral's name for it is "SSU rRNA". It matches the Rfam family "Bacterial small subunit ribosomal RNA", at positions 26 to 518 of the family's 1533-position model. The record is from RNAcentral.